Molecule: ribosomal RNA, 406 nt
Filed under: uncultured bacterium
Lineage: Bacteria
Description: partial 16S ribosomal RNA
Rfam family: Bacterial small subunit ribosomal RNA
Source: RNAcentral
AUUGAACGCUGGCGGCAGGCCUAACACAUGCAAGUCGAACGAGUGGCGGACGGGUGAGUAAGGUAUGGGAAAGUGACUGGGGGAUGGGGAUAACUACCGGAAACGGUAGCUAAUACCGCAUACCAUCGGAUGUGCCCAGUUGGGAUUAGCUAGUGGGUGGGGUAAAGGCUCACCUAGGCGACGAUCCCUAGCUGGUCUGAGAGGAUGACCAGCCACACUGGAACUGAGACACGGUCCAGACUCCUACGGGAGGCAGCAGUGGGGAAUAUUGGACAAUGGGCGAAAGCCUGAUGCAGCCAUGCCGCGUGUGUGAAGAAGGGCUUCGGAUUGUAAAGUACUUUCAGCGGGGAGGCGUUACCCGCAGAAUAAGCACCGGCUAACUCCGUGCCAGCAGCCGCGGUAAUAC